GAUGAACGCUGGCGGCGUGCCUAAUACAUGCAAGUCGAGCGAACGGACGAGAAGCUUGCUUCUCUGAUGUUAGCGGCGGACGGGUGAGUAACACGUGGAUAACCUACCUAUAAGACUGGGAUAACUUCGGGAAACCGGAGCUAAUACCGGAUGAUAUUUUGAACCGCAUGGUUCAAAAGUGAAAGACGGUCUUGCUGUCACUUAUAGAUGGAUCCGCGCUGCAUUAGCUAGUUGGUAAGGUAACGGCUUACCAAGGCAACGAUGCAUAGCCGACCUGAGAGGGUGAUCGGCCACACUGGAACUGAGACACGGUCCAGACUCCUACGGGAGGCAGCAGUAGGGAAUCUUCCGCAAUGGGCGAAAGCCUGACGGAGCAACGCCGCGUGAGUGAUGAAGGUCUUCGGAUCGUAAAACUCUGUUAUUAGGGAAGAACAUAUGUGUAAGUAACUGUGCACAUCUUGACGGUACCUAAUCAGAAAGCCACGGCUAACUACGUGCCAGCAGCCGCGGUAAUACGUAGGUGGCAAGCGUUAUCCGGAAUUAUUGGGCGUAAAGCGCGCGUAGCGGUUUUUUAGUCUGAUGUGAAAGCCCACGGCUCAACCGUAGAGGGUCAUUGGAAACUGGAAAACUUGAGUGCAGAAGAGGAAAGUGGAAUUCCAUGUGUAGCGGUGAAAUGCGCAGAGAUAUGGAGGAACACCAGUGGCGAAGGCGACUUUCUGGUCUGUAACUGACGCUGAUGUGCGAAAGCGUGGGGAUCAAACAGGAUUAGAUACCCUGGUAGUCCACGCCGUAAACGAUGAGUGCUAAGUGUUAGGGGGUUUCCGCCCCUUAGUGCUGCAGCUAACGCAUUAAGCACUCCGCCUGGGGAGUACGACCGCAAGGUUGAAGCUCAAAGGAAUUGACGGGGACCCGCACAAGCGGUGGAGCAUGUGGUUUAAUUCGAAGCAACGCGAAGAACCUUACCAAAUCUUGACAUCCCUUGACAACUCUAGAGAUAGAGCCUUCCCCUUCGGGGGACAAAGUGACAGGUGGUGCAUGGUUGUCGUCAGCUCGUGUCGUGAGAUGUUGGGUUAAGUCCCGCAACGAGCGCAACCCUUAAGCUUAGUUGCCAUCAUUAAGUUGGGCACUCUAAGUUGACUGCCGGUGACAAACCGGAGGAAGGUGGGGAUGACGUCAGAUCAUCAUGCCCCUUAUGAUUUGGGCUACACACGUGCUACAAUGGACAAUACAAAGGGCAGCGAAACCGCGAGGUCAAGCAAAUCCCAUAAAGUUGUUCUCAGUUCGGAUUGUAGUCUGCAACUCGACUACAUGAAGCUGGAAUCGCUAGUAAUCGUAGAUCAGCAUGCUACGGUGAAUACGUUCCCGGGUCU
This 1370-nucleotide ribosomal RNA is filed under the name uncultured bacterium. RNAcentral describes it as "bacterial SSU rRNA". It matches the Rfam family "Bacterial small subunit ribosomal RNA", at positions 28 to 1381 of the family's 1533-position model. The record is from RNAcentral.